UACAGAGGUCUCGAGCGUUAGGCGGAAUCACUGGGCUUAAAGCGUGUGUAGGCGGAUCGUUAAGUACCUUGUGAAAUCCCACGGCUUAACCGUGGAACUGCUCGGCAUACUGGCGGUCUUGAGCCAGCUAGGGGCUACCGGAACAAAUGGUGGAGCGGUGAAAUGCGUAGAUAUCAUUUGGAACGCCAAUGGUGAAAACAGGUAGCUGGGGCUGUGCUGACGCUGAGACACGAAAGCCAGGGGAGCGAACGGG
RNAcentral lists this ribosomal RNA (253 nucleotides) under uncultured bacterium. Its description in RNAcentral is "partial 16S ribosomal RNA". It matches the Rfam family "Bacterial small subunit ribosomal RNA", at positions 524 to 776 of the family's 1533-position model. The record is from RNAcentral.